AAAGUGCGGCUGGAUCACCUCCUU
RNAcentral lists this ribosomal RNA (24 nucleotides) under Kocuria rosea. RNAcentral's name for it is "partial 16S ribosomal RNA". The record is from RNAcentral. Lineage: Bacteria; Bacillati; Actinomycetota; Actinomycetes; Micrococcales; Micrococcaceae.